RNAcentral lists this ribosomal RNA (493 nucleotides) under Arabidopsis thaliana (thale cress). Lineage: Eukaryota; Viridiplantae; Streptophyta; Magnoliopsida; Brassicales; Brassicaceae. The record is from RNAcentral.
GUCAAAGUUGGCAUGUGAUACCUUUUCGGAAAGCCCAAAGAGAGCCCUCCGACGAAAGAAGCAGGACAAUGGAACUUUUCCAUUGACUUUUUGUCGACCCCAAAUUUUGACCUUUAAGUACUUUUUCGGGCAUUUUCGUGAUUUGGGCUAUAUUACGGACCCAAUAUUAGUUAUUCAAGCAUUGUUUUCGAAUUUUUUCAUGUAUCAAAGCUCGUUAAGACAAGAUGGGGUAUCCCUACAUAGCGGGUGGGACCCGCGGCGAAUGGUUCAUCAAGUUUUCAAAAAAGAAUAUAUACGAUUGCAUUGCAUAUACUAACGGAUGCGAUCAUACCAGCACUAAUGCACCGGAUCCCAUCAGAACUCCGCAGUUAAGCGUGCUUGGGCGAGGGUAGUAACUAGGAUGGGUGACCUCCCAGGAAGUCCUCGUGUUGCAUCCCUCUUUUUUUUUUUUUUUUUUUGGUUAAAACUUUAUGACUCCAUAACUUGUACACAG